AAACUUUCAACAACGGAUCUCUUGGUUCUGGCAUCGAUGAAGAACGCAGCGAAAUGCGAUAAGUAAUGUGAAUUGCAGAAUUCAGUGAAUCAUCGAAUCUUUGAACGCACAUUGCGCCCGCCAGUAUUCUGGCGGGCAUGCCUGUUCGAGCGUCAUUUCAACCAUCAAGCCCCC
This 174-nucleotide ribosomal RNA is filed under the name Amesomyces nigricolor. RNAcentral describes it as "Amesia nigricolor 5.8S ribosomal RNA". The stretch from base 2 to 155 matches the Rfam family "5.8S ribosomal RNA". Rfam says of the family: 5.8S ribosomal RNA (5.8S rRNA) is a component of the large subunit of the eukaryotic ribosome. It is transcribed by RNA polymerase I as part of the 45S precursor that also contains 18S and 28S rRNA. The record is from RNAcentral. Lineage: Eukaryota; Fungi; Ascomycota; Sordariomycetes; Sordariales; Chaetomiaceae.